GGAUGUGAGGGUGACCUGGCUGCGACAUCUGUCACCCCAUUGAUCGCCAGGGUUGAUUUGGCUGAUCUGGCUGGCUAAGAGGGUGUCCCCUUCCUCCCUCACUGCUCCAUGUGCGUCCCUCCCGAAGCCACAGGCUUGGUCAAAGAGGAUAGCCUUCCCCUUCCCCGAAUACCAAUGGACCGGUCUUUGGUGGAGGGUAUAGGAGUAGCUGCACUCCCCUGCUAGAACCUCCAAACAAGCUCUCAGCAUGAAAGGGCUGGCCCAAGAAGGGUGCUGAGGGUUUCCUCCUGAAACAGAGAAUAGACAGGACAUCCAUCAAAGCUUCUCAUGUGUUCUCAGUCUGUGGU
Erinaceus europaeus (western European hedgehog) is the source of this 347-nucleotide non-coding RNA. Lineage: Eukaryota; Metazoa; Chordata; Mammalia; Eulipotyphla; Erinaceidae. The record is from Rfam.